This 519-nucleotide ribosomal RNA is filed under the name uncultured Streptococcus sp. Its description in RNAcentral is "bacterial SSU rRNA". It matches the Rfam family "Bacterial small subunit ribosomal RNA", at positions 28 to 531 of the family's 1533-position model. Lineage: Bacteria; Bacillati; Bacillota; Bacilli; Lactobacillales; Streptococcaceae. The record is from RNAcentral.
GACGAACGCUGGCGGCGUGCCUAAUACAUGCAAGUAGAACGCUGAAGGAGGAGCUUGCUCUUCUGGAUGAGUUGCGAACGGGUGAGUAACGCGUAGGUAACCUGCCUGGUAGCGGGGGAUAACUAUUGGAAACGAUAGCUAAUACCGCAUAACAGUAGAUAUUGCAUGAUAUCUGCUUGAAAGGUGCAAUUGCAUCACUACCAGAUGGACCUGCGUUGUAUUAGCUAGUUGGUGGGGUAACGGCUCACCAAGGCGACGAUACAUAGCCGACCUGAGAGGGUGAUCGGCCACACUGGGACUGAGACACGGCCCAGACUCCUACGGGAGGCAGCAGUAGGGAAUCUUCGGCAAUGGACGGAAGUCUGACCGAUUAACGCCGCGUGAGUGAAGAAGGUUUUCGGAUCGUAAAGCUCUGUUGUAAGAUAACAACGAGUGUGAUAGUGGAAAGUUCACACUGUGACGGUAUCUUACCAGAAAGGGACGGCUAACUACGUGCCGGCAGCCGCGGUAAUACGGUGG